GACGAACGCUGGCGGCGUGCUUAACACAUGCAAGUCGAGCGGUAAGGCCCUUUCGGGGGUACGACGAGCGGCGAACGGGUGAGUAACACGUGGGUGACCUGCCCUCAGCUCUGGGAUAAGCCUGGGAAACCGGGUCUAAUACCGGAUAUGACUCCAUGACGCAUGUUGGUGGGGUAGGAAAGCCUUGUGCGGCUGAGGAUGGGCCCGCGGCCUAUCAGCUUGUUGGGUGGGGUGANGGCCUACCAAGGCGACG
RNAcentral lists this ribosomal RNA (253 nucleotides) under uncultured bacterium. RNAcentral's name for it is "partial 16S ribosomal RNA". It matches the Rfam family "Bacterial small subunit ribosomal RNA", at positions 28 to 278 of the family's 1533-position model. The record is from RNAcentral.